GUCUACGGCAAUACCACCCUGAAUGUGCCCGACCUCAUCUGAUCUCGGAAGCUAAGCAGGGUCGGGCCUGGUUAGCACUGGUAUGGGAGGAAGAGGAAAAUAUGAAUGUAGAUA
Molecule: ribosomal RNA, 114 nt
Filed under: Chinchilla lanigera (long-tailed chinchilla)
Lineage: Eukaryota; Metazoa; Chordata; Mammalia; Rodentia; Chinchillidae
Source: RNAcentral